GUCGAGCGAAGGAUAGGUUACGAGCCUUCGGGCGAGGGACCUAUUACUUAGCGGCGAACGGGUGAGUAACGCGUGGGCAACCUGCCCCCCAGACUGGGAUAACAGCUCGAAAGGGCUGCUAAUACCGGAUGAGCCUCUGGUGCCGCAUGGUGCUGGAGGGAAAGCGGUUCAGCGCUGGGGGAUGGGCCCGCGUCCCAUUAGCUAGUUGGUGAGGUAACGGCUCACCAAGGCGACGAUGGGUAGCCGGCCUGAGAGGGUGGACGGCCACACUGGGACUGAGACACGGCCCAGACUCCUACGGGAGGCAGCAGUAGGGAAUAUUGCGCAAUGGGGGGAACCCUGACGCAGCGACGCCGCGUGAGCGAAGAAGGCCUUCGGGUCGUAAAGCUCUGUCCUAUGGGAAGAAGGAGACGGUACCAUAGGAGGAAGCCCCGGCUAACUACGUGCCAGCAGCCGCGGUAAUACGUAGGGGGCGAGCGUUGUCCGGAAUUACUGGGCGUAAAGGGUGCGUAGGCGGAUAUGCAAGUCCGAUGUGAAAGACUUCGGCUUAACCGAGGAGCUGCAUUGGAAACUGCAUAUCUAGAGUGCA
Molecule: ribosomal RNA, 589 nt
Filed under: uncultured bacterium
Lineage: Bacteria
Description: bacterial SSU rRNA
Rfam family: Bacterial small subunit ribosomal RNA
Source: RNAcentral